UCCCAGUGAUGAUAACUUUUCCCUGACUUCCACAUGGAGGCAAAUAAAUAACUGAUUUAAUCUGAGGG
Non-coding RNA from Paramuricea clavata, 68 nucleotides. Lineage: Eukaryota; Metazoa; Cnidaria; Anthozoa; Malacalcyonacea; Plexauridae. The record is from the annotation of a GenBank genome assembly.